RNAcentral lists this ribosomal RNA (475 nucleotides) under uncultured organism. Its description in RNAcentral is "partial 16S ribosomal RNA". It matches the Rfam family "Bacterial small subunit ribosomal RNA", at positions 331 to 797 of the family's 1533-position model. The record is from RNAcentral.
GUACACUCCUGCGGGAGGCAGCAGUGGGGAAUAUUGCACAAUGGGCGCAAGCCUGAUGCAGCCAUGCCACGUGUAUGAAGAAGGCCUUCGGGUUGUAAAGUACUUUCAGCGGGGAGGAAGGCGAUAAGGUUAAUAACCUUGUCGAUUGACGUUACCCGCAGAAGAAGCACCGGCUAACUCCGUGCCAGCAGCCGCGGUAAUACGGAGGGUGCAAGCGUUAAUCGGAAUUACUGGGCGUAAAGCGCACGCAGGCGGUCUGUCAAGUCGGAUGUGAAAUCCCCGGGCUCAACCUGGGAACUGCAUUCGAAACUGGCAGGCUAGAGUCUUGUAGAGGGGGGUAGAAUUCCAGGUGUAGCGGUGAAAUGCGUAGAGAUCUGGAGGAAUACCGGUGGCGAAGGCGGCCCCCUGGACAAAGACUGACGCUCAGGUGCGAAAGCGUGGGGAGCAAACAGGAUUAGAUACCCGAGUAGUCCCA